This 708-nucleotide ribosomal RNA is filed under the name uncultured Gammaproteobacteria bacterium. RNAcentral describes it as "bacterial SSU rRNA". It matches the Rfam family "Bacterial small subunit ribosomal RNA", at positions 68 to 758 of the family's 1533-position model. Lineage: Bacteria; Pseudomonadati; Pseudomonadota; Gammaproteobacteria. The record is from RNAcentral.
UACAGCAGGAGCUUGCUCCUGGCUGACGAGCGGCGGACGGGUGAGUAACGCGUAGGAAUCUACCUAGUAGUGGGGGACAACCCGGGGAAACUCGGGCUAAUACCGCAUACGCUCCUCUUCUUCGGAAGAGGAGGAAAGCGGGGGAUCUUCGGACCUCGUGCUAUUAGAGGAGCCUGCGUCGGAUUAGCUAGUUGGUGAGGUAAAGGCUCACCAAGGCAACGAUCCGUAGCUGGUCUGAGAGGACGACCAGCCACACUGGAACUGAGACACGGUCCAGACUCCUACGGGAGGCAGCAGUAGGGAAUCUUGGACAAUGGGCGCAAGCCUGAUCCAGCCAUGCCGCGUGUGUGAAGAAGGCCUUAGGGUUGUAAAGCACUUUCAGUGGUGAAGAAAAGCUUAGGGUUAAUAACCCUGAGUCUUGACGUUAACCACAGAAGAAGCACCGGCUAACUCCGUGCCAGCAGCCGCGGUAAUACGGAGGGUGCGAACGUUAAUCGGAAUUACUGGGCGUAAAGCGCACGUAGGCGGUUUGUUAAGUGGGAUGUGAAAGCCCCGGGCUCAACCUGGGAAUUGCAUUCCAAACUGACAGGCUAGAGUGCAGUAGAGGGAGGUAGAAUUUCCUGUGUAGCGGUGAAAUGCGUAGAUAUAGGAAGGAAUACCAGUGGCGAAGGCGGCCUCCUGGACUGACACUGACGCUGAGGUGCGAAA